GAGUGGCGAACGGGUGAGUAACACGUGAGUAACCUGCCCCUGACUUCGGGAUAAGCCCGGGAAACUGGGUCUAAUACCGGAUACGACUGCCGGACGCAUGUCUGGUGGUGGAAAGUUUUUUCGGUUGGGGAUGGGCUCGCGGCCUAUCAGUUUGUUGGUGAGGUAAUGGCUCACCAAGACGACGACGGGUAGCCGGCCUGAGAGGGCGACCGGCCACACUGGGACUGAGACACGGCCCAGACUCCUACGGGAGGCAGCAGUGGGGAAUAUUGCACAAUGGGGGAAACCCUGAUGCAGCGACGCAGCGUGCGGGAUGACGGCCUUCGGGUUGUAAACCGCUUUCAGCAGGGAAGAAGCGCAAGUGACGGUACCUGCAGAAGAAGUACCGGCUAACUACGUGCCAGCAGCCGCGGUAAUACGUAGGGUACGAGCGUUGUCCGGAAUUAUUGGGCGUAAAGAGCUCGUAGGUGGUUGGUCACGUCUGCUGUGGAAACGCAACGCUUAACGUUGCGCGUGCAGUGGGUACGGGCUGACUAGAGUGCAGUAGGGGAGUCUGGAAUUCCUGGUGUAGCGGUGAAAUGCGCAGAUAUCAGGAGGAACACCGGUGGCGAAGGCGGGACUCUGGGCUGUAACUGACACUG
RNAcentral lists this ribosomal RNA (641 nucleotides) under Brevibacterium sp. I13A-01615. Its description in RNAcentral is "bacterial SSU rRNA". It matches the Rfam family "Bacterial small subunit ribosomal RNA", at positions 93 to 748 of the family's 1533-position model. The record is from RNAcentral. Lineage: Bacteria; Bacillati; Actinomycetota; Actinomycetes; Micrococcales; Brevibacteriaceae.